AAAACAAAUUGAUGAUUAAAUGGUAACUAAAUCACAAUCACUAGUUAUUACAAUGAACAAAGGGUUUCAACGGAAUAUAAAAUGAAAGCGAUUUUUGUUUUUCUCUGUCUGGAUCAUUGAUAAUCAGUAAUAAUCUUACGGGAUCUUAUUUUUUGUUAUUCUAAGCUUAACAGCUUAAGCUUAUUAAUACAUCUCCAAAGAUUUGCUUAUUUUGCUAGCAUCUUGAUGGAUCUCAUGUAUUUUUUUUUGUUUUCCCAAAUCUUGGUCUUAACUUGUCUACUUUUUUGACAACUGUCUAAUACACAAUCCAGUUUAAGUAUGACAAUUACCGUUCUUUUGUUGUCAACAGUUAGAUACUUAGUUAAAAUAAUUAGCUAAUUAAUAUUCUGGUUAAAUCAUAAUCCACUUUUUGCUUUCCUUUUUUUUGCUGUUUUCAACCCUAAAUGUGUCUUUUAUUUGCUUUAUAAUUUGAAUAAUGUCUUCAAUUAACAGUGAUUUUAUUAUUUUUACUCUUUUUGCAUUAAGGUUAACAAUCGUAAGAGCAACAAAAAAUUAACCAAUCCAGUCAACAUUAAAUUGUUCAUUUUUACUUUUAUUUGCAACAAACCUUGUGGCUAAACGUUAAUGUCGUAUAAUUAGCCAUUGGUGGUUAUUGUUACAGUUUAUAUCGAAAAGAUAACCAUUACUAUCGCAAUCCCGCUUAAACUGUGAGUCUAUUGUUUUGUUUGGUUACCAGUUACAGUAUUUCUGUGUUUAAUCGUCAACAAACUGCCUUUCAACAAUUUAAUUAUUCAAUUAAAUACAUUUAUAGUCAACUAACUGUGCAUAAAUGUAAACAUGUAAAUCACAAUGGUUUUUUCCUCAAAUAAUUAUCGGUAUCCACCAUUUGUAUGGAAUUAACAAAUGGAAACAAAUAUACAUCAUUUUGAUUAAUUUAAAUCAUCCACUGGCAAUGAUUGAUUAGUGAUCUGAAGAGAGUCGUCUUUUCGUAUAAUAUUAUUUUUAAUGGAUGAACACUUUUGGAUUAGACAAGUGACCAAAUCGGAAAAUUACACAAACAUAUGCACAGUUUACCCAUUAAUCUGCUCAAAGGGGUGAUUCAAUUGGAAUUACAAUAUGUUCACCAGUUCGUCUGGUAUUCUGCCUUUUUACACAUUUUUGCUAAUUACUAGCUUAGUAAUCAUCAACUGGUCAUUACUAUUUGACUUCAAUUGUUUCUCAUUAUGGACAAACAAUUAAACCUGGUGAACCAACCUGGUGAACUAGAAAACCGAAUAACUCUAAUUAUUGAUUAUCGUAAAAAAGACUGGAUCGACUAAAAUGAUUAAUGAAUUACGUUGAACAAUAAAAUGAAAAAGGAAACUUUGGGUGACUUUGGGUUAUCAUUAAAGACCUUUUCCUGACAAUGAUUCUGAUGAUGACAAUGAUUAAUUAAAUGUACUUUUUCUUAAACAGCCACGGACAGUUGAUAUAAUUGUUGAAAGCCAUACCUAAACAUCAAAGCUUGGAUAAAUUACAAGAGGAACAUUUAAUCACAAUUUAAUGGACACCAAACAUCAAUACAAAAUCAAACUGGACUCAAAGACUGUACCAAAACAAUGAUUAACUGAAGUCAAUGAUAAAUUGUUAAAUCUGUUACAGAUCUAAUUGGAAAAGUUAACAAUAUUGAAUGAUCAACUAUGAUUUGGCCAAUAAUCACAGCAUGUAAUGCCAGUGUCGAUUCCAACCCUCAAGAAUUACCAAUCAGUUAUUUAAGUUAGACUUUGAAUGUCACCUUUGCCAAAUUGAAUUUAGCAUUAAGAUUGUGAUUCCUAUUUUUCACUUUUAUCACUUAACUGUUUUGUGAUUAGCUAAAUUGCAUUACAAAGGCAACUCUACAAUACAGAUUAAUUCAACCGUCUUAUUACAGUCAAUUACUGGAUCCAUUUAGGUUCACCUUACAAAUGAAAAUUACAUUUCAUUUACGAAAAACUUGAGUUUAUUAAUACAAAUUGAAUUAAUCUGGAAUAAUCGUAAAUCUUGAUUGUUGAGAUACAAGUAGAGUUUAAAUGAUACUUGAUAUGAUUAUUGACUGUAAUAACUGUUAACCGUCCUGAGUAUUAUUGAUUUUGUUAUUUAAUAUUGUUUUCAGUGUCCCUGAUAAGGUUAAGUUUUUUUUCAUCAUGAAUAAAUCAAGAUGAGCUAAUAGAA
Molecule: non-coding RNA, 2190 nt
Organism: Tetranychus urticae (two-spotted spider mite)
Lineage: Eukaryota; Metazoa; Arthropoda; Arachnida; Trombidiformes; Tetranychidae
Source: RefSeq, a predicted model, not a curated record